CCCAUCUUUCGAAGAAUUUGCUUGGGUAUAGCUGGCGGAACUGAAAGCUCCAUGCUUUGGCUGAACUCUUCUGCGAGCUUAACAAGUCUGGAUUUUUCUCGGCCAAUGGUCUUGUUAGAGUUGUAGUAUCCUAACCAUGCUUGAUAGGCACACUCCUUGCUCCUCAUCUCAACUUUCCGGACUGCGAUUAUGAACUUACUAUUGUCUGAGUGCUUGAAUCAACAGAAGGUACCGUAGCCUCUGAUAUUGACAAAUCCUUAAUGCUACUAAGAAAGUACUUCUCCCAUGGAGCCAACAGUAAUAGGCCUUGCCCUUCCUUUCCCUUCCGUCCAGUUCUACCAAGUCUAUGUAUAUAUUGCUGUCUAUCAGCUGGCACCCCAACCUGCAACAAGGGUGACAUCAGGAUAAUCCACGCCGCGGGCAGAUACAUCAGAACUAACCAAUAUCAGACCCCUUGACUUCCUGAAUUCAUCUGAGACCUUAGUUCUGGCAGAUUGUGACUUUCUGGAAUGAAUCUCUCUUAUAUUCAGUCUCAGUUGGGAAAG
Molecule: small RNA, 545 nt
Filed under: Oryza sativa Japonica Group (Japanese rice)
Lineage: Eukaryota; Viridiplantae; Streptophyta; Magnoliopsida; Poales; Poaceae
Description: sRNA Os01g0618450
Source: RNAcentral